This 209-nucleotide unclassified non-coding RNA is filed under the name plant metagenome. RNAcentral describes it as "partial contains small subunit ribosomal RNA, internal transcribed spacer 1, and 5.8S ribosomal RNA". The record is from RNAcentral.
GCUCCGUUGGUGAACCAGCGGAGGGAUCAUUACUGGAAUCGCAAGAUCCCACAACCCUGUGAACCUACCGAAACGUUGCCUCGGCGGGUGCCCGGCCUCCGCGCCGGGCGCUGCGCCCGCCGGCGGCCCCCUACUCUGUCUCUGCAGCGUGGCAUCUCAGAGUCCCAGAAAACAAGUCAAAACUUUCAACAACGGAUCUCUUGGCUCUA